Molecule: ribosomal RNA, 679 nt
Filed under: uncultured archaeon
Lineage: Archaea
Description: bacterial SSU rRNA
Rfam family: Archaeal small subunit ribosomal RNA
Source: RNAcentral
CCCUAUGGGGUGCAGCAGGCGCGGAACCUUUACAAUGCGCGAAAGCGUGAUAAGGGGAUACUCAGUGCUUAUGCCUAUGGUGUAGGCUUUUGUUGUGUGUAAAGAGCACGACGAAUAAGUGGUGGGUAAGACUGGUGCCAGCCGCCGCGGUAACACCAGCGCCACGAGUGGUCAUCGCGAUUAUUGGGCCUAAAGCGUUCGUAGCCGGCUUGGUAAAUCUUUUGUGAAAUUGUCCUGCUCAACGGGACAGCGUGCAGAAGACACUACCUAGCUCGAGACCGGGAGGGGUCAGAGGUAUUCCAUGGGGACCGGUAAAAUGGGAUAAUCCAUGGAGGACCACCGAUGGCGAAGGCAUCUGACCAGAACGGAUCUGACGGUGAGGAACGAAAGCCAGGGGAGCGAACCGGAUUAGAUACCCGAGUAGUCCUGGCCGUAAACGCUGCGAGCAAGGUGUUGCGUAUCCCACGUGGAUGCGCAGUGUCGAAACGAAGGUGAUAAGCUCGCCGCCUGGGAAGUACGGUCGCAAGACUGAAACUUUAAGGAAUUGGCGGGGGCGCACUACAAGGGGUGCGGCGUGCGGUUUAAUCUAACUCCACGCAGAGAACCUUACUAGUGGCGACGGCAAAAUGAAGGCCGUGCUAAAGACACUGCCCGAUGAGCCGAGAAGUAGUGCAUGGCC